RNAcentral lists this ribosomal RNA (1362 nucleotides) under human metagenome. RNAcentral describes it as "bacterial LSU rRNA". It matches the Rfam family "Bacterial large subunit ribosomal RNA", at positions 809 to 2013 of the family's 2925-position model. The record is from RNAcentral.
CUGUGGGUAGGGGUGAAAGGCCAAUCAAACUCCGUGAUAGCUGGUUCUCCCCGAAAUGCAUUUAGGUGCAGCGUUGCGUGGUCCCUGGUGGAGGUAGAGCUACUGGAUGGCCGAUGGGCCCUGUGGGUUACUGACGUCAGCCAAACUCCGAAUGCCAUUAGGUGUAGCGUGGCAGUGAGACUGCGGGGGAUAAGCUUCGUAGUCGAGAGGGAAACAGCCCAGAUCAUCAGCUAAGGCCCCUAAGCGUACGCUAAGUGGGAAAGGAUGUGGAGUCGCGGUGACAACCAGGAGGUUGGCUUAGAAGCAGCCAUCCUUGAAAGAGUGCGUAAUAGCUCACUGGUCAAGUGAUCGUGCGCCGACAAUGUAGCGGGGCUCAAGCACACCGCCGAAGCCGCGGAUCCUCAACAAGCACCCUGUCGCUGUGCGGCCAGGGGUUGGGGGUGGUAGGGGAGCGUUGUGUACUGGGUGAAGCGGCCGAGUAAUUGUGUCGUGGACGGUACGCAAGUGAGAAUGCAGGCAUGAGUAGCGAUACUAGGGUGAGAAACCCUAGCGCCGAAUGACCAAGGGUUCCAGGGCUAGGCUAGUCCGCCCUGGGUGAGUCGGGUCCUAAGGCGAGGCCGACAGGCGUAGUCGAUGGAUAACCGGUUGAUAUUCCGGUACCGGCUGGUGACCGUCAAGUGUUGACUGAAAGGUACUAACCCACGCUAAAAACAUGGCUGAAUGCCUUUUGGGUGUUUGGUUGUGGUUUUGGUUUGGGGACAGGCUUUCUUGGUAGGCAAGCGUGUGGAGUGACGCACAGUGGAAGCCUUCGCGAGGUGAUGGUAUACCUCGUUUAACCGUGUAGCUUACUGCUUAGGUAAAUCCGGGUGGUUUUAUGUGAGGCGGGAUGAUGACCACUUUUUGGGUGGGAAGUAGGGGUGAUCCUGUGGUGCCGAGAAAAGCUUCGACGCGAGGUGGCUGGCCGCCCGUACCCUAAACCGACACAGGUGGUCGGGCAGAGUAUGCCUAGGCGCACGAGAUAAUCAUGGUUAAGGAACUCGGCAAAAUGCCCCCGUAACUUCGGGAGAAGGGGGGCCUGAUACUUGAUGAAACCAUUUUUUGUGGCUUUCUAGGGUUGAGGGUCGCAGAGACCAGGGAGAAGCGACUGUUUACUAAAAACACAGGUGCGUGCGAAGCCGUAAGGCGAUGUAUACGUACUGACGCCUGCCCGGUGCUGGAAGGUUAAGAGGAACCGUCAACCUUUGUUGGUGAAGCGGUGAAUUUAAGCCCCAGUAAACGGCGGUGGUAACUAUAACCAUCCUAAGGUAGCGAAAUUCCUUGUCGGGUAAGUUCCGACCUGCACGAAUGGCGUAACGACUUCUC